Molecule: ribosomal RNA, 497 nt
Filed under: uncultured bacterium
Lineage: Bacteria
Description: partial 16S ribosomal RNA
Rfam family: Bacterial small subunit ribosomal RNA
Source: RNAcentral
GAUGAACGCUGGCGGCGUGCCUAAUACAUGCAAGUCGAGCGAACGGACGAGAAGCUUGCUUCUCUGAUGUUAGCGGCGGACGGGUGAGUAACACGUGGAUAACCUACCUAUAAGACUGGGAUAACUUCGGGAAACCGGAGCUAAUACCGGAUAAUAUUUUGAACCGCAUGGUUCAAUAGUGAAAGACGGUCUUGCUGUCACUUAUAGAUGGAUCCGCGCUGCAUUAGCUAGUUGGUAAGGUAACGGCUUACCAAGGCAACGAUGCAUAGCCGACCUGAGAGGGUGAUCGGCCACACUGGAACUGAGACCCGGUCCAGACUCCUACGGGAGGCAGCAGUAGGGAAUCUUCCGCAAUGGGCGAAAGCCUGACGGAGCAACGCCGCGUGAGUGAUGAAGGUCUUCGGAUCGUAAAACUCUGUUAUUAGGGAAGAACAAAUGUGUAAGUAACUAUGCACGUCUUGACGGUACCUAAUCAGAAAGCCAGGGCUAACUACGUG